Molecule: transfer RNA, 106 nt
Filed under: Candidatus Woesearchaeota archaeon
Lineage: Archaea; Nanobdellati; Candidatus Woesearchaeota
Description: tRNA-Met
Source: RNAcentral
AGCGGGGUAGGGCUUUUGCAGCCUUAGCUGACUGCAGACCUAAGAGUCAGGAGUGCCCGGGGGGCUCAUAACCCCCAGGUCGGAAGUUCAAAUCUUCUCCCCGCUA